CCUACGGGAGGCAGCAGUGAGGAAUAUUGGUCAAUGGGCGCGAGCCUGAACCAGCCAAGUAGCGUGAAGGAUGACUGCCCUACGGGUUGUAAACCUCUUUUAUCAAGGAAUAAGGUUGGGCACGUGUGCCUUUUUGUAUGUACUUUAUGAAUAAUGAUCGGCUAACUCCGUUCCAACCGCCGCGGGAAUAACGGGGAUACGAACGUUUUCCCGAUUUUAUGGGGUUUAAGGGGUGGUAGGUGGGGUGUUAAGUCCGGUGUGAAAGUUUGCGGCUCAACCGUAAUAUUGCAAUUGAUACUGGCAGUCUUGAGUACAGUUGAGGUAGGCGGAAUGCGUGGUGUAGCGGUGAAAUGCUUAGAUAUCACGAAGAACUCCGAUUGCGAAGGCAGCCUACUAAACUGCCACUGACAUUGAUGCACGAAAGUGUGGGUAUCAAACAGGAUUAGAUACCCUUGUAGUC
This 460-nucleotide ribosomal RNA is filed under the name uncultured bacterium. Its description in RNAcentral is "partial 16S ribosomal RNA". It matches the Rfam family "Bacterial small subunit ribosomal RNA", at positions 338 to 795 of the family's 1533-position model. The record is from RNAcentral.